UCUUGACUCAGACUGUGACAGGUCUCUGUCCGGAUGGGGCUGGUCACAGUUAUGAGUGCUUGUUCCCUUUUUUUGAUCUCUGUCCUCUCUUUUCUUCUGACUGGAAGGGACCAAACUAUUCAAUGUGGUGGGACAACUCUACAGCUGAGGAAGCCCCUGGUGGAGUUUGAGAUGCACAGCAGUUGCUGUGGGUGGUUCUGAUAUUGGCUAAGGGUACAUGGGGGUUCAUGGGAAGGAUCUGUGUGUGAAAUGUUAACAUCUCACAAGUGGCCGAGGCUGGUGGUCACCACAUUAAUAAUAUGCUACUGCACUGAUGGCAUCCAACCCAAGGAUACAUUCCUGCUGUAAUGGGCAGCAGCUGGACCGGGGUUUCCGGGAGGACAGCUGAGCGCUGGCGGACACAGAGGGACACCCCCGACCUUCCCGACCCCCCUACUGACUGCGUGUCUCAUCCAAGUUUUGUAGCUAUUGCAAUA
Molecule: long non-coding RNA, 476 nt
Organism: Ctenopharyngodon idella (grass carp)
Lineage: Eukaryota; Metazoa; Chordata; Actinopteri; Cypriniformes; Xenocyprididae
Exons: 3
Source: RefSeq, a predicted model, not a curated record